RNAcentral lists this ribosomal RNA (161 nucleotides) under uncultured bacterium. Its description in RNAcentral is "partial 16S rRNA". It matches the Rfam family "Bacterial small subunit ribosomal RNA", at positions 358 to 511 of the family's 1533-position model. The record is from RNAcentral.
GGAAUCUUCCACAAUGGGCGAAAGCCUGAUGGAGCCACGCCGCGUGUGUGAUGAAGGGUUUCGGCUCGUAAAACACUGUUGUAAGAGAAGAAUGACAUUGAGAGUAACUGUUCAAUGUGUGACGGUAUCUUAUCAGAAAGGAACGGCUAAAUACGUGCCAA